UGUCGUAAAGUUUUCAAAUACCGUCAGGUAAUCGAUUAUUGAUUCUGUAUAAUCGAUUGUUUUGAUUAAAAUCCGGAAAAGAUUUUUUGAACGUUAUUGCGUAAUCGAUUGUUGAGAAAUUAUGAGAGAAUGUUUAAUGUUGGCUGGCCUAGCUCAGUUAGUAGGCACCAUCAUGACUCUCAAUGGUGGGAAAUCCGGAUUGUGACAAGUUGGUAUCAGAG
RNAcentral lists this long non-coding RNA (221 nucleotides) under Nicotiana benthamiana. RNAcentral's name for it is "long non-coding RNA (NBEN_LNC035032)". Lineage: Eukaryota; Viridiplantae; Streptophyta; Magnoliopsida; Solanales; Solanaceae. The record is from RNAcentral.